Molecule: ribosomal RNA, 401 nt
Filed under: Pseudomonas sp. DB2-18
Lineage: Bacteria; Pseudomonadati; Pseudomonadota; Gammaproteobacteria; Pseudomonadales; Pseudomonadaceae
Description: bacterial SSU rRNA
Rfam family: Bacterial small subunit ribosomal RNA
Source: RNAcentral
GAGCGGUAGAGAGAAGCUUGCUUCUCUUGAGAGCGGCGGACGGGUGAGUAAUGCCUAGGAAUCUGCCUGGUAGUGGGGGAUAACGUUCGGAAACGGACGCUAAUACCGCAUACGUCCUACGGGAGAAAGCAGGGGACCUUCGGGCCUUGCGCUAUCAGAUGAGCCUAGGUCGGAUUAGCUAGUUGGUGAGGUAAUGGCUCACCAAGGCGACGAUCCGUAACUGGUCUGAGAGGAUGAUCAGUCACACUGGAACUGAGACACGGUCCAGACUCCUACGGGAGGCAGCAGUGGGGAAUAUUGGACAAUGGGCGAAAGCCUGAUCCAGCCAUGCCGCGUGUGUGAAGAAGGUCUUCGGAUUGUAAAGCACUUUAAGUUGGGAGGAAGGGUUGUAGCAUUAAUAC